RNAcentral lists this ribosomal RNA (409 nucleotides) under bacterium. Its description in RNAcentral is "partial 16S ribosomal RNA". It matches the Rfam family "Bacterial small subunit ribosomal RNA", at positions 355 to 776 of the family's 1533-position model. The record is from RNAcentral.
UGGGGAAUAUUGCACAAUGGGCGAAAGCCUGAUGCAGCGACGCCGCGUGAGGGAUGACGGCCUUCGGGUUGUAAACCUCUUUCAGUAGGGACGAAGCGCAAGUGACGGUACCUGCAGAAGAAGCACCGGCUAACUACGUGCCAGCAGCCGCGGUAAUACGUAGGGUGCGAGCGUUGUCCGGAAUUACUGGGCGUAAAGAGCUCGUAGGCGGUUUGUCACGUCGUCUGUGAAAUCCUAGGGCUUAACCCUGGACGUGCAGGCGAUACGGGCUGACUUGAGUACUACAGGGGAGACUGGAGUUUCUGGUGUAGCGGUGGAAUGCACAGAUAUCAGGAAGAGCACCGAUGGCGAAGGCAGGUCUCUGAGUAGUAACUGACGCUGAGGAGCGAAAGAAUGGGUAGCGAACAGG